RNAcentral lists this long non-coding RNA (239 nucleotides) under Theobroma cacao (cacao). Its description in RNAcentral is "long non-coding RNA (TCAC_LNC003088)". Lineage: Eukaryota; Viridiplantae; Streptophyta; Magnoliopsida; Malvales; Malvaceae. The record is from RNAcentral.
UCUUCUUCAUCCAUGUUCCACGCCAUUCUUGAAGCUUCCAUGCCAUUUUCUCUUUAUCCACCAUGAAAUCAAGUUUUCUUCACUUUCCUUUCCAUAUUUUCUUUUCCUUUCUUCUCCAAACUUCUUAAGCACUAAAUUUACAGCAUUUAACCCCAAUUUCUAGCACAACUAAACCUUAGGAGGAGGAGAAAGAAAAAGAGAGAAAGGAAGAAAAAGCUUAGUUUUGGUGAUUCAAGCAA